This 253-nucleotide ribosomal RNA is filed under the name uncultured prokaryote. RNAcentral describes it as "partial 16S ribosomal RNA". It matches the Rfam family "Bacterial small subunit ribosomal RNA", at positions 524 to 776 of the family's 1533-position model. The record is from RNAcentral.
UACGUAGGUGGCGAGCGUUGUCCGGAAUUACUGGGUGUAAAGGGAGUGUAGGCGGGGGUUUAAGUUGGAUGUGAAAGACCGCGGCUCAACUGCGGGGCUGCAUCCAAAACUGGACUUCUUGAGUGAAGUAGAGGCAAGCGGAAUUCCUAGUGUAGCGGUGAAAUGCGUAGAUAUUAGGAGGAACACCAGUGGCGAAGGCGGCUUGCUGGGCUUUUACUGACGCUGAGGCUCGAAAGCGUGGGGAGCAAACAGG